CUUGAUCGAGCCCAGCCACAGCGGCCGCUCGGGGCUGUGCUCGCGCCCGUACGUCGCGAGCAGCGCCUGCGCCUC
This 75-nucleotide antisense RNA is filed under the name Streptomyces sp. CNQ-509. RNAcentral describes it as "ASpks TB sRNA". It matches the Rfam family "ASpks TB sRNA". The record is from Rfam by way of RNAcentral. Lineage: Bacteria; Bacillati; Actinomycetota; Actinomycetes; Kitasatosporales; Streptomycetaceae.